UUUUACAUCUGCUUUUGGUGUCCUAC
RNAcentral lists this non-coding RNA (26 nucleotides) under Rattus norvegicus (Norway rat). Lineage: Eukaryota; Metazoa; Chordata; Mammalia; Rodentia; Muridae. The record is from RNAcentral.